GCCGAUUUGGUCCUAGUCCCAAUUUUAGCUAUUUCCAAACUGCCACAUGCAAGCUAACUAGCCCCCCAGUGAAAUUAACACUACUUUACCCCAACCUUCCAAGUAAAGGAGUAAAAUAGUCAAUCAGCAUCAGGAGCAGCAAACGCCCAACUACGCUAAGUAAAUCGCCACAACUGCAGUGCUAAACAUUAGACAAUCAGGAAAACCUGGAUCUAGUAAAGAAUGAAAAGGAGGUUAAGUACGUGCCAGCCACCGCGGUUAUACGUACAUCCUGCAGCUAAAAUCACUACGGUAAAAAGGAUGGUUAGAAUAGACACUUUACUUUUAGCUCUGAACCAGCAAUAGAAAGCUUACUUUAGAAGAAAAUCUGUGAAAGUAACAUAGAAUUUGAGCCCAUGAAAACUAAGACCUAAACCAGGAUUAGAUACCCUGCUAUACUUAGAAGUUAACAACCUUUAGCACCAGAGAACUACGAACUAUUAAGUUUAAAACUCAAAGGACUUGGCGGUUUUUCAAAUCUCCCUGGAGGAGCUUGCCAUCAAAUCGAUAAUCCACGUUAUACCUCACCAGCUUUUGAAAAUAUCAGCCUGUAUACCAUCGUCGUAAGUCUACUUCUCAAGAAAGUUGACAAAAAGGAGAAUCCCCUAGACGUCAGAUCAAGGUGCAGCUUAUAAGCCGGGGAUCGGUGAGCUACAAUGUUCAAAACGACCAGUGGAAGAGAGACUGAAAAGCUUCUCUGAAAUUGGAUUCAGCAGUAAGCAUCAAAACGAAAGUGAUGCUGAAGUGAGCUCUGAAAUGCGUACACAUCGCCCGUCACUCUCGCCUAACUAGCCAAUUUAUAGCAAGGGGAGAAAAGUCGUAACAUAGUAGGCAUAUCGGAAGAUGUGCCUGGAAAAU
Molecule: non-coding RNA, 897 nt
Filed under: Phormosoma bursarium
Lineage: Eukaryota; Metazoa; Echinodermata; Echinoidea; Echinothurioida; Phormosomatidae
Source: RNAcentral